GAUGAACGCUGGCGGCGUGCCUAACACAUGCAAGUCGAGCGAACAGAUGAGGAGCUUGCUCCUCUGACGUUAGCGGAGGACGGGAGAGUAACACGUGUAUAACCCCCCUAUAUGACUGGGAUCACCUGGGGAAACCGGAGCAUAUACCGGAUGAUAUAUUGAACCGCAGGGUUCAAUAGUAAAAGACGGCUUUUCUGUCACGUCUAGAUGCAUCCGCGCCGCAUGAGCUAGUUGGUAGGGUAACGGCGUUCCACGGCAACGAUGCGUAGCCGACCGGUGAGAGGGAUCGCCCGCCUGGGAACUGAGACACGGUCAAUGCGCCUACGGGAGGGAGCAGUAGGGAAUCGUCCGCAAUGGUCGGAAACCUGACGGAGUAGCGCCGCGUGAGUGAUGAAGCUCUCCGGAUCGUGAUGCUCUGUUAUGAGGGAUAAACAAAUGUGUAAGGAGCUAUGCACGUCUUGACGGUACCUGGUCAGAAAGCCACGGCUAACUACGUG
This 497-nucleotide ribosomal RNA is filed under the name uncultured bacterium. Its description in RNAcentral is "partial 16S ribosomal RNA". It matches the Rfam family "Bacterial small subunit ribosomal RNA", at positions 28 to 507 of the family's 1533-position model. The record is from RNAcentral.